RNAcentral lists this non-coding RNA (32 nucleotides) under Rattus norvegicus (Norway rat). Lineage: Eukaryota; Metazoa; Chordata; Mammalia; Rodentia; Muridae. The record is from RNAcentral.
UAGGAUGUGUCACAUUCCAAAAGAAUGUAGUU